CACUGGGCGCCCAAGAUCUCCUCGACUUGCUGCACUCCUACUGCUUCUGCUCCCGGGGGAACAGGAGCACGGGUGCCGCCUGCGGGAGCAGGUGGAUAGAACGGCGAGCUGAAGAGGGGCAGCCGCCGACAGCCAGGUGCACAUGCUGCAGGAGGAGCUGGACGAGCUGAAGGGAGGGGGCUCCCUGCCUUAGCAGCCUGGUGCCCCCAGCCAAGGAAUGAAAUCUUAAACCAGUCAGUGGGGAAUCGCCUGAUGAGCAGCAGUUUGGUGGCAGCAGUGGGAUUCAAAGGACUCAUCUGAUGGCUUCGGAGAUGAGAAACACAGGCAUUGGUACCCGCAAAACCUUUGAGUUCUCCAUCUUUUUCGCUGUUUCCGAGGGCCAUGGGUAAGUUCCUCUCGGAUCUGAGAUCCACUGUCUUUGUGUUGAGCUCCCGAUCUAACUGGCUUUCCAGUCCAGGGUCAAUGGGUCAGUCUAGACUGACAAGAUGCUCUAAGAGAGCAUCAGUCUUAGCCCUUGGUUAGUCCACAGUCCCCAUUUGUUGGAGUCUGCUGGUUGAGUCUGCAGGCCCCUUGUGUUAGGGUCUGCUAGUUCAGUCCGUGGUUCUUGCUAAUGGAGAGGAGUGGAAGAAAUGUGUGCUCCAUGCACACCCAGUCCUUGAAAACUUCCCACGUGCAUUUUACAUGCAUUUUGCCUUCUGUUGACUGUCGAUGGGUUCUAAGGAAAUGGUGAAGGCACAGUGAGGAGGAAUUGUGGGUUUCUGCAUGACUACCUCGAGCACUCGUCAACCUGAACAACCGCCCGGCGCUACCAGAACUGAAAGACAUCCCAUCACCAUGGAUUGGAAGACUCC
This is a long non-coding RNA of Diceros bicornis minor, 851 nucleotides long. RefSeq lists it as uncharacterized. The transcript has 3 exons. The record is from RefSeq and is a predicted model, not a curated record. Lineage: Eukaryota; Metazoa; Chordata; Mammalia; Perissodactyla; Rhinocerotidae.